Molecule: ribosomal RNA, 409 nt
Filed under: uncultured prokaryote
Description: bacterial SSU rRNA
Rfam family: Bacterial small subunit ribosomal RNA
Source: RNAcentral
UGGGGAAUAUUGCACAAUGGGCGCAAGCCUGAUGCAGCGACGCCGCGUGAGGGAUGACGGCCUUCGGGUUGUAAACCUCUUUCAGCAGGGACGAAGCGCAAGUGACGGUACCUGUAGAAGAAGCUCCGGCUAACUACGUGCCAGCAGCCGCGGUAAUACGUAGGGAGCGAGCGUUGUCCGGAAUUACUGGGCGUAAAGGGUGCGUAGGCGGCAAAGCAAGUCAGAUGUGAAAUCCCCGGGCUUAACUCGGGGGGUGCAUUUGAAACUGCAUUGCUUGAGUGCAGGAGAGGAAAGCGGAAUUCCUAGUGUAGCGGUGAAAUGCGUAGAUAUUAGGAAGAACACCAGUGGCGAAGGCGGCUUUCUGGACUGUAACUGACGCUGAGGCACGAAAGCGUGGGGAGCAAACAGG